AUUGAACGCUGGCGGCAUGCUUUACACAUGCAAGUCGGACGAGUGGCGGACGGGUGAGUAACCUCUCGGAACCUGCCGGGUUUUGGGGGAUAACUACUGGAAACGUUAGCUAAUACCGCAUACUCUUCGAUCUGCCCAUAUCUGAUUAGCUUGUUGUUGGGGUAACGGCCCACCAAGGCGACGAUCCCUUGCUGGUCUGAGAGGAUGAUCAGCCACACUGGAACUGAGACACGGCCCAGACUCCUACGGGAGGCAGCAGUGGGGAAUAUUGGACAAUGGGCGCAAGCCAGAUACAGCAAUGCCGCGUGUAUGAAGAAGGCCUUCGGGUUGUAAAGGACUUUUGGCGGGGAAGCGUUACCUGAAGAAGAAGCACCGGCUAACUACGUGCCAGCAGCCGCGGUAAUUC
RNAcentral lists this ribosomal RNA (406 nucleotides) under uncultured bacterium. RNAcentral's name for it is "partial 16S ribosomal RNA". It matches the Rfam family "Bacterial small subunit ribosomal RNA", at positions 30 to 526 of the family's 1533-position model. The record is from RNAcentral.